RNAcentral lists this ribosomal RNA (487 nucleotides) under uncultured bacterium. Its description in RNAcentral is "partial 16S ribosomal RNA". It matches the Rfam family "Bacterial small subunit ribosomal RNA", at positions 27 to 507 of the family's 1533-position model. The record is from RNAcentral.
GGACGAACGCUGGCGGCGUGCUUACCACAUGCAAGUCGAACGGGAUCCAAAGGCUUUUUGUUUUUGGUGAGAGUGGCGAACGGGUGAGUAACACGUGAGUAACCUGCCCCCUUCUUUUGGAUAACCGCAUGAAAGUGUGGCUAAUACAGGAUAUUCCAGGCUGGUCGCAUGAUUGGUUUGGGAAAUGGUUUGGUCUGGUGGGGGAUGGGCUCGCGGCCUAUCAGCUUGUUGGUGGGGUGAUGGCCUACCAAGGCGGUGACGGGUAGCCGGCCUGAGAGGGUGGGCGGUCACACUGGGACUGAGAUACGGCCCAGACUCCUACGGGAGGCAGCAGUGGGGGAUUUUGCACAAUGGGCGCAAGCCUGAUGCAGCGACGCCGCGUGAGGGAUGAAGGCCUUCGGGUUGUAAACCUCUUUCGCUGGGUUGAAAGGCCAUGCUUUGGGUGUGGUUGAUUUGAACUGGUAAAGAAGUACCGGCUAACUACGUG